CCAGGUCACGUGCUUCUAGCCCGGGCACCGACGGACUAUUUCUCCCUUUCUGCGGAAGGACAUAAUUGACAUGGCAAACUCAAGUCACCUUCGACUUCAGCGGGACCACGCCUUUUUCUUGCCUCGUAGCCCAGGACAGAAAGUUUGCCAGAUACACAUUUCUUUAAAGCCCUGCUCACCAAUUCGGGAGUGGCCCCUUUAAAUGCAAAUGAACCGCCUUCUCGCUCUCGCCCCCCGCCCCCAUCCCAACUUCGCUCCUCGUGCCCAGACUCCGCCAGCUGCCAUUGACGUCACGCGUGCGUCAGCGUCGCCAGCCCAACCAGACGGCACGUGGGGGGAAGAAGGUGGCCUUAAAGGGCCAGCCGCCUUCGGCCGGCAGGGUCGCAGCUGUGAGUUUGGCCUUGGAAAGGAGGAAUGAAAUGAGAGGUGGGGAAAUCUGUUGGAGCGAGAGGACGUGCAGGAUAGACGUUAGGAAGGACAGGUAGGAGUUGUGCUCCUUCCCAGAGUAGGAGGGCCAGGCGUUUCCUCUAGACUCCCCAGAAGGUUGGGGUUUGCGCCCGGGGAGAGCAGCGCUGGAGGAGAACAGCUCUGAGGGUAGAGGAGGCUGGCACUUAAGACUCGCCCAGUUAUAAUGUCAGUCCUUCCUUCGUCCCUGCCCCGCAUGUCCGCAACGCAAGGAACUCGUUCUCCUCCGCAUCUCCAGCACGGUGCAUUUCCAGCACGGAGAGCAAAGCUCCUGGUAGGCAGGUAUUCGGUAUUUGUAGAACCAAUGGGAUCCAGUGCAAAGUCGCCUCCUUCAGGAGGCUCUCCCUGAAUGCCCCACCGGCGGGCUAGCGCGUCCCAGCUGCUAAGGACGGACCGCCCACAGCAUUCAAUGAACCUGCGUCUUCCUUCCUUGCAUUAGCGACCACGAGGCAGUGCUGAAGCGCUCAGAUCUUGGAGUGAUGUAGACACGGGGUCGAAUCCCCUUUAUACUGUUUACUGGCUGAGGGACUUUGGAACAAGUGUGUUCAUCUUACCUCUGCUAAGUGUCAAAUGGGGCUAAUGCUGCUUGGACCACAUGUUAGCGGGAUUGGUUGAAGGAGGCGGCCCCUCUUGCAUGGUAUCUGUUUCAUUGUAAGCCGCUCAAUGAUGGUGGGGAGUGCGUUUUAGGAUGCUUCCCUCCCCCACUAAACUGUGUGCUUAUGGAGAGCGAGGACCGUGCCACACUAAUUUAUUCCCAGAACCCACACCAUGCAGGGUUUAGGGUUGGUGAUUUAAAAAUGUUCGCUGAGUGAAUAAACAUGAGUGAAUGAGUGAUUUCAGUAUUUCCUGAAAUCUGACCUCCAAACCCACCCCUGAAGCUGUUACCCAAAGGGAGAAAACAUUACAAACGCCCCCCUCUGUGCCCCAGCUUUUCAGCUCUGUGGCAGAGGUUGGGGUGAGGCCCUAAUCACUGUGGUUGAACCAAAAGUAUUAUGCAAACAAGCCAGAAAUGAUGGGUCUGCAGCGGAGAGUUGAGGGGGCCUCCCCACCCCAGCUCUGCUGCUUAGAACCCUGACCCGGGACCCCCAGGCUGGGCUGCCAGGGGCAGAGGACACUAAAUGGAGCUGGACGAGGGGAGUUUCUUGCCCCUUCAGAGUCUCUUAGCCCAGGCACGGGUCCAUCCUCGGCCUCUCCUUCUCCGGAGCCCUGUCUGUCCUGUGCCCGGCUCUGCCUCCCAUCCCCCACCCCAACCUCCAUUCCUUCUACAGCUUCCCCGCGGUUAUAGUGGGGGGUGAGGGGGGCACAAGGCCUCCUACCACCUGAUUCCAGCUCGCUGGCCAGAGGAGCAAGAGCCACCUCAUCCUGGUUCGGCCUGGCUCGUAGCUGCUUAUCGAUCUGAUUUUCGAUAUCUGUCACCAUCUCUGAAGUAGAAGGGCGUUCAGACAACAGAAGGAACUUCCUGCCAGGGGAGGAGCUCUGAGAGCCCUCUCCUUCCCUGAAGACCAGGAGGAAGUGGGGUGACCCUCCUCUGGGGGAGAGCAACCCUGUCAGCUCAGGAACCGCGAGGGGCACGGAUGGGUCCCCACAGGACUCUCCCCGCUGCCUGGGUGCCGGCUCCACCCCCUGCCGGGGUAGGGUGCUGUCCAGGAGCAUUCUGUGUUCCAGAAAACCCCAAAAUAACCCAACUUUGCUGUCCAGCUGCUAUUUCUGUCCAUCUUGUUUAAUUAUUCAAACCCAAGUUGGGGAGUGAACUAUAAAAAGCUCUCCUACUUGGGGACCCAGGAGAGCUGGGAGGCUCGCCAGGCUGCAUUACCAACAGGGCCACAUGGUUUGGGUGAGGUCACUCGGUCCGGUCUCCUGCCUGAAAGUUCCAUCUGCUGUUUGCCUGCUUCCUCUGCUACAAGGCAGAGGCCAGGCCUCCCUCCCUGCAUCUCCGGCUCUGUGGCAGCCCGUCCUGUCCUGCCGGGGAGCCGGGCUCCAGCCCGCACUCUGGAAGCGUGCGCUCACUGCUUCCUAGCCCUGGUUCUUAUCCCACAGAUCCUAUUAUCAGACCCAAGCAUCCAGGACUGAGGGGGUGGGGUGGCAGGAAGUGCAGGUAAAGAGGUCAAGUCAGGUGGACAGUGCGAUGGACCCUGGGCCCUUGGAGGGCACUCUGUCAGUGGGGGGGCUGGGGGACGCUUUUCUGGGUGGGGCAGGUUCCUGUCACAGGUGCUGAGCUUCUUCAGGGGCUUCUCUUGGGGACUCUGAUAUUGUAGCUGAAGGGACAGAGGGAAAGCAGCAGGGACUUUGUUUUUCUGGGCCUAAUCCUCUUCUGGUCGCCCAGAAGUUCAACGUCCGUUUCCAUUGAAACUGAAGCCCAGGUUGCAGGUGGCGGUGGGAGGUGCGGAAAGCAGGGUACCCCUGGGGGUCUGUUCUGGGAUCCCCCUCCCCCCUCGGGCCUUUCCUAGAGAGGUGAUAACAAAGGGUGUGGCCACAGUUGCUAUGGCAACUUGGGGAGCGUAGUUGGGGGGGGCGGUUAGGACUGGGCCUCGCUCAGCCUGAGCAGGAGGGGCCGAAGGAGAGGACGGGCCUGCCCUUGGGACAGAUGCAGGUGGAGGCAGACUUACAGGAUGGACAAGAGGACUAGGGCUUUGAGAAGCUGGGGGCGGCGGAGCCCGGCAGGACUUUCCAAGAGACCGUGUGGGACCCAAGUGUUAAAGAGGGCCCUGGGCUUUACCCUCGACCUGUCUGGGGGCUUGUUCCCACACAUUCCCUGGCAGCGGUUCCUGUGAAGUCCAACCUGCCCCCACCCCUGCCUCGGCUCUACUGGAGCUGCAGGGGAAGGUGCUGAGGAGGAGAUCGCGGGUGACCAAGGGCACAUUGAAAGGCCCACGCAAACCUGGUGGCCGAGUGACAACAGUACUUUGGGGGAGCCUCGAAGAGGUUUGUGGAAGGUCUCUGAGGUGUCUCCCCCUCUCGUGGCGGGGGCAGCAGGGAAGCGAUAUAUGAAGCAAGAGUUAUCAAGAAAGGGCCCGGAAGCUGUCCUCUGCUGGAGGGUAAUCUCUGCACCCGACGUGGGGCUCAAACUCACGACCCCGAGGUCAAGGGCUGGAGGUUCUUCCGACCGAGCCGGCCAGUAGCCUCAGGUGUGCAAUGUAACAAUUCGAUGCGAAUUCCUAUUGAGAAAGGAUCACCAUAGUAGGGUUAGUUAACAUUCCACAACCUCACACCAUCAUCGUGUGCGCACGGGUGUGCGUGGGGAGGACAUUUAGGACCUGCUCUCAGCAACUAUCACGUGUCGCUAACUGUAGUCACCACGCUGUGAGUUACACGCUCAGCACUGGCUCCUCUCCUGACCAGAAGGUUGUGCCCUUUGACUAACAUCCGCCAUUUCUACCCCUGCCCCCGAGAACAGCGUGAUUCACUCCUUUAACAAACAUUUAUUGCCUGCUGCGGCCGUACCCGGGACAUCUUGUUAGCGGGUCUGAGUUAGCUUUGAGGGACAUCUCUCUAGGUCCCUCCAUGGCCGGGUCCUGCUCCCCACUUUUACGUGGAAAGAGAAAAGUGGGUCCUGUCGAGGAGAUGGCGUCAGGAUGUAAAAAGACUUCAACGUAUUAGAUAAAAAUCGGGGUGCCUGGCUGGCGGUGGAGCGAGCGACUCUCGGUCUCCGGUUGUGAGUUCGAGCCCCACGCUGGGGGCACAGACUACUUUAAAAAAAUCUUUAGGGGCGCCUGGGUGGCACAGUCGGUUAAGCGUCCGACUUCAGCCAGGUCACGAUCU
Long non-coding RNA from Felis catus (domestic cat), 4224 nucleotides. RefSeq lists it as uncharacterized. The transcript has 4 exons. NCBI's taxonomy places the organism in Eukaryota, Metazoa, Chordata, Mammalia, Carnivora, Felidae. The record is from RefSeq and is a predicted model, not a curated record.